GAUGAACGCUGGCGGCGUGCCUAAUACAUGCAAGUCGAACGGACGGGCGCGGAUCUUGCUGCUCGGAUGUUUGCCGCACACGUGUGUAUAACGCGUGUAUCAUCUACCUGUCAUUCUGGGAUCACUUCGGGACACGGGCUCUUAUCCGAUAGGAGCUUUUGCUCCGCGGUGUUGAAAGGUGAGUUUCGGUCGUGCUGGCUCUUCUCGAGGGAUACGCGCUGCAUUAGGUAGUUGGUGAGGUCACGGCCUAUCAAGGCAAGGAGGCGUAGCCGACCUGAGAGGGUGAUCGGCCACACGGGAACGGAGACACGGUCCAGACGCCUACGGGAGGCAGCAGUAGGGAAUGUUCGGCAAUGGGCGAAAGCCUGACGGAGCAACGCCGCGUGAGUGAUGAAGGUCUCCGGAUCGUAAAACUCUGUUACUAGGGAAGAACAGAUGUGGAAGGAAAUGAGGACAGAGUGACGGUACCUAAUCAGAAAGCAACGGCUAACUACGUG
RNAcentral lists this ribosomal RNA (497 nucleotides) under uncultured bacterium. Its description in RNAcentral is "partial 16S ribosomal RNA". It matches the Rfam family "Bacterial small subunit ribosomal RNA", at positions 28 to 507 of the family's 1533-position model. The record is from RNAcentral.